Molecule: RNA transcript, 1003 nt
Organism: Panicum virgatum (switchgrass)
Lineage: Eukaryota; Viridiplantae; Streptophyta; Magnoliopsida; Poales; Poaceae
Exons: 3
Source: RefSeq, a predicted model, not a curated record
CCUCCGCUCUCCACCCCUGCGCCGCCGCCCGCCCUCCUCUCUCCACCCCGGCGCCGCCGCCCGCCCUCCUCUCUCCACCCCGGCGCCGCCGCCCCCUGUGCCCGAGGGAUCCCAUCGGCGUCCACGGCAUCCCACCGGAGGGGGGGCCCGAUUCCGGCGGCAGCUAGGCCAUCCACGGCGCCGCCACCUCCAUCCUCCACGCCCAUCCCCUCCGCCGCCGCCCCACCUGCGCGCCGGCCGGCCCGCCCUCCGCCCUCCACCCCGAUGCCGCCCGGCCCGCCCUCCAUUCCGUGCCCGACGCAGCUCCCCCGCCCCGGGCCCCGGACGAGCUGCUGCGCGAGGAGGUCCGGCGCGCCCCCGUCGCGCGCCGCCGCGUCGCGAGGAGCUGCCGCACCGCCGUCACGAGGAGAUCCCACGCCCUCGACCCCUCGGCGCCGCCACUCUUGCUCGCGCCUGCAGUUUGUGAACCUGCAGUACAAGAAGCUGUGGUGGGAGGCUGGCAGGCGCUUCGUCAAGCUGCGCUCCACCAAGGCCCUCAAGACCAUCGAGAAGCACGGCCUCGACGCCGUAGCGCGCAAGGCCGGCAGCGACCUCAACAAGAGCUUGGUGCUUGGGAGAAUAAAAGAGAUCACAAAUCAUCAGCAAGAACAAGGUACACUUGAUCCAUAUUUACAUAGCUAAUUAAUUGCAUUAUAACUUGUUUCUUACAUUCAUUAUCACUCACAACAUGUUGCAAGUACAUGCUAAAUCAAGUAAGAGAAAUUGGAAAGAAGAGAGCUGGAAAAUUGGCACCAACAAGGGAUAAUGGGACGAUUGGGACGAUUCAAUUCUCGUCGUCGAAAACAUGUCAACAAGGAUGUUGAGCCAAUGUUGUGGUUUGUAAUCAGUGUAUGAACUUAUGGUUUGUAAACAGUGUAUGAACAUGUGACACUUUUGUGACAAUGAAUUCUUUCUAUGUGUUUACUUCGUGAGAUUUAUGUACUUAUGAUGAGAAUUGUAUCAA